UUAGUGAGGCUUCAGGAUUGGUUCAGAGAAGGGGGCAACCUCAUCUUGGAACCGAAAAUUUAGUCAAACUUGGUCAUUUAGAGGAACUAAAAGUCGUAACAAGGUUUCCGUAGGUGAACCUGCGGAAGGAUCAUUACAGUAUUCUUUUCAGGCUGAAUUGGCAUUGAGCUUUCUGCUAUAGGAGUGCUGGGUGUUUACAGACUGCGCUGCUGAAAUAUUGCGUGCGCGGACUGUUGCCUGGUAUUCUGGAAAGUGAGACGUCUUUUCAUCAAGGCUUGAAAAACCUCCUUCUACACUUUGUUUUCUUAUUAGAGACAAAUUUGCUUUGGCUAGUAGCUGCGUAAAAACAGCGGUCUAGCCAGAGGUUUUCAAACAAAACUCUUGUUUUAAUAUUCUUUUCUUCACGGGGAAGAGUAUGGAACGUGAUAAUUUAUUAUAAUUUAGUCAUUAAAUUUAAGGACGCAAGUUCUAACUAAAAAAUUUAAAACUUUCAACAACGGAUCUCUUGGUUCUCGCAUCGAUGAAGAACGCAGCAAAAUGCGAUAAGUAAUGUGAAUUGCAGAUUUUCGUGAAUCAUUGAAUCUUUGAACGCACAUUGCGCCCUCUGGUAUUCCGGAGGGCAUGCCUGUUUGAGCGUCAUUUCCCUCUCAAACCCUUUUUUGGGUCUGGUGAUGAGUGAUACUGCUGGCUGGGUUUGUUUUACAGACCGAGCAGGCAGUUCAUUUGAAAUGCAUUGGCAUGAGUUUUUGUUUCACAAGCUAUAAUUGUUUAUUCAAUGUAUUAGGUUUUAUCCAUCGUUGUAGAAGCAGUUAGAGCGUGUGGCAAAGUUUUGGCUCUGCCUAACAAACUUUUUAUUUAAUCAUAAAGUUACAGACCGAGCAGGCAGUUCAUUUGAAAUGCAUUGGCAUGAGUUUUUGUUUCACAAGCUAUAAUUGUUUAUUCAAUGUAUUAGGUUUUAUCCAUCGUUGUAGAAGCAGUUAGAGCGUGUGGCAAAGUUUUGGCUCUGCCUAACAAACUUUUUAUUUAAUCAUAAAGUUUGACCUCAAAUCAGGUAGGAUUACCCGCUGAACUUAAGCAUAUCAAUAAGCGGAGGAAAAGAAACCAACAGGGAUUGCCUUAGUAGCGGCGAGUGAAGCGGCAAGAGCUCAAAUUUGAAAUCUGGUACCUUCGGUGCCCGAGUUGUAAUUUGAAGAAAGCUAUCUUGGAUUUGGCCUUUGUCUAUGUUCCUUGGAACAGGACGUCACAGAGGGUGAGAAUCCCGUGCGAUGAGGUGUCCAUUUCUAUGUAAGAUGUUUUCGAAGAGUCGAGUUGUUUGGGAAUGCAGCUCUAAGUGGGUGGUAAAUUCCAUCUAAAGCUAAAUAUUGGCGAGAGACCGAUAGCGAACAAGUACAGUGAUGGAAAGAUGAAAAGAACUUUGAAAAGAGAGUGAAAAAGUACGUGAAAUUGUUGAAAGGGAAGGGUAUUAGAUCAGACUUGGUAUUUAGUUAUCAUUACUCCUUGUGGGUGGUGCUCUAGCUUUUUACUGGGCCAGCAUCAGUUUUGGUGACAGGAUAAUAGCAAUUGAAUGUGGCUCCUCGGAGUGUUAUAGCUUUUGUUGAUACUGUCUACUGGGACUGAGGUCUGCGGCUUUGCCUAGGAUGCUGGCGUAAUGAUCCAAUACCGCCCGUCUUGAAACAUGGACCAAGGAGUCUAACGUCUAUGCGAGUGUUUGGGUGUAAAACCCGUACGCGUAAUGAAAGUGAACGUAGAUCA
Molecule: ribosomal RNA, 1752 nt
Filed under: Ogataea sonorensis
Lineage: Eukaryota; Fungi; Ascomycota; Pichiomycetes; Pichiales; Pichiaceae
Description: LSU rRNA
Rfam family: Eukaryotic large subunit ribosomal RNA (bases 1038-1752)
Source: RNAcentral